ACCUUUUUAGUUUAUAUAAAAUAUAACUUUGAAGCAGUUAAGAAUGUUAGAGGUG
This 55-nucleotide transfer RNA is filed under the name Panagrellus redivivus. RNAcentral's name for it is "tRNA-Phe". Lineage: Eukaryota; Metazoa; Nematoda; Chromadorea; Rhabditida; Panagrolaimidae. The record is from RNAcentral.